This 254-nucleotide ribosomal RNA is filed under the name uncultured bacterium. Its description in RNAcentral is "partial 16S ribosomal RNA". It matches the Rfam family "Bacterial small subunit ribosomal RNA", at positions 524 to 776 of the family's 1533-position model. The record is from RNAcentral.
CACGUAGGGUGCGAGCGUUGUCCGGAAUUAUUGGGCGUAAAGAGCUCGUAGGCGGUGUGUCGCGUCGGCCGUGAAAACCUGCAGCUUAACUGUGGGCUUGCGGUCGAUACGGGCAUCACUGGAGUUCGGCAGGGGAGACUGGAAUUCCUGAUGUAGCGGUGAAAUGCGCAGAUAUCAGGAGGAACACCGGUGGCGAAGGCGGGUCUCUGGGCCGAUACUGACGCUGAGGAGCGAAAGCGUGGGGAGCAAACAGG